UACGGAGGGUGCAAGCGUUAAUCGGAUUUACUGGGCGUAAAGGGUGCGUAGGUGGUUAUGUAAGUGAGAUGUGAAAUCCCCGGGCUUAACCUGGGAACUGCAUCUUAGACUGCAUGACUGGAGUGCGAUAGAGGGUAGUGGAAUUUCCGGUGUAGCGGUGAAAUGCGUAGAUAUCGGAAGGAACACCAGUGGCGAAGGCGGCUACCUGGAUCGACACUGACACUGAGGCACGAGAGCGUGGGGAGCAAACAGG
This 253-nucleotide ribosomal RNA is filed under the name uncultured bacterium. RNAcentral describes it as "partial 16S ribosomal RNA". It matches the Rfam family "Bacterial small subunit ribosomal RNA", at positions 524 to 776 of the family's 1533-position model. The record is from RNAcentral.